RNA transcript from Capsicum annuum, 2161 nucleotides. It is a transcript of the gene named protein DETOXIFICATION 33, with no coding region annotated. The transcript has 10 exons. The record is from RefSeq and is a predicted model, not a curated record. NCBI's taxonomy places the organism in Eukaryota, Viridiplantae, Streptophyta, Magnoliopsida, Solanales, Solanaceae.
AUCGUGGCAAUAUUGUCCACAAAAACUAACAAAAUGUACAUACGUCUCUAUUCAAUAUUGCCUAAUCUAGUAAUGCAACUUCAUCUUCUUUUCCGCCUCUUCUGCCCGACUCUUUGGUUUUAAGAACGAUUGUUUUUAAGAAUGAGUAUGACUAUUGACUAUAGAUAUAUGUAGGCAAAUUUACUCUGAACCACCCAUAUUUUGCAAAAUCUUUCAAGUUUAAAUCUUGAAUCCGGCAUCAUGGGGAGUAGCAACACUAGUGAGCCCCUGCUUGAUAAUCAUGAUGAACUGGAUAGAAAAGAAACACCUAAUGGGAACGACGAUGAUGUUGGAUUUUUUAAAGAAUUUGGUCCAGAAUCGAAGAGGCUAUGGGAGCUAGCUGGUCCUGCCAUUUUCACUUCAAUAUGCCAGUAUUCACUUGGUGCACUCACUCAGACUUUUUCUGGUCAAGUUGGCGAACUUGAGCUUGCUGCUGUCUCUAUUGAAAAUUCUGUUAUUUCCGGCCUUGCUUUUGGUGUCAUGCUGGGAAUGGGAAGUGCACUGGAGACAUUAUGUGGGCAAGCAUUUGGUGCAGGACAAAUAAGGUUGCUUGGAAUAUACAUGCAAAGAUCUUGGGUCAUUUUGCUCACCGCUGCUUGUGUUUUGGUUCCUAUUUAUGUCUUUUCCCCUUCAAUUCUCCUUUUUGCCGGUCAAACCACUCGCAUCUCUAAUGCUGCUGGAAAAUUUGCGUUAUGGAUGAUACCGCAGUUGUUUGCUUAUGCAAUGAACUUUCCAAUCCAGAAAUUCUUACAAGCUCAGAGGAAAGUCUUAGUGAUGGCAUGGAUAUCUGCUGGAGUUCUGGUGCUUCAUGUCCUUUUUAGCUGGUUGUUCAUACUGAAAUUUAAAUGGGGCUUAGUUGGAGCAGCUGUAACUCUCAAUACCUCAUGGUGGCUCAUAGUAAUUUUGCAGCUCAUCUACAUCUUUGUCACCAAAUCCGAUGGAGCUUGGACUGGCUUCUCAUGCUUGGCAUUUCAAGACUUGUUUGGCUUUGUCAAGCUCUCUUUGGCCUCUGCUGUUAUGUUAUGCUUGGAGUUCUGGUAUUUGAUGAUAUUGAUCAUAAUCACAGGUCUUUUGCCAAAUCCAUUGGUGCCAGUUGAUGCCAUGUCUAUCUGCAUGAACAUAGAUGGAUGGCAGGCGAUGAUUUCCAUAGGAUUUAAUGCUGCUAUUAGCGUGAGAGUAUCUAAUGAACUUGGGGCUGGCAAUGCACGUCUGGCAAAAUUUUCUGUAAUUGUAGUCUCCUUAACAUCAACUGCUAUAGGAGCAGCUUGCCUGAUUGUCGUGCUUGCAACACGAGAAUAUUUUCCGUACCUCUUCACCAACAGUGACGCAGUUGCUAAUGAGACGAAGAAACUGGCAAUAAUGCUCGCAUGGACAGUUCUAUUAAACAGCCUUCAGCCUGUCUUAUCUGGUGUUGCUGUUGGAGCUGGAUGGCAGGCUCUUGUAGCAUACAUUAACAUUGCAUGCUACUAUAUUGUUGGUUUGCCUGCUGGAGUACUUUUGGGCUUCAAAUUGGAUUUGGGAGCUAUGGGAAUAUGGGGUGGGAUGAUCGGAGGUGUCUGUUUGCAGACCAUUAUCUUAAUAGCUAUUACAACAAUGACAAACUGGGAAAAGGAGCUAGUGAAUCGCGUAGCAGCUAAAAGGAACUAGUGUUUGAAAGGAUAAAGGCUUCAAUGUAGCGGGUUGAAUUAUUUGAGGCUGAAAUUACUAUUGUAGCUAAUAAAUCAUUAAGGAUCAAACCCUCUGGAUAGCAGACGUCCACGUUAGGUUUUAUUGUCGUUUCAGCUGAUAUUUUGGUGAGCUCCAACUCUCUCUGGAGCCAGUCUAUGCCUAGUAUAGUAUUGAUUAUAGGUACACGUCUUUAGUUGGGCAUGACGGUCUUAAUGCCAACUAGUCAUUUGUAGUAUAGUGUGUUAAACUGACUAAAGGCUUCAUAGAUAUCGUCUAGUAUUGUAUAGUUUUGUUAACUCCCUCGUGUACAUAUGCAAUGCUUAUCGAGCAUCCUACUCGUUAUUAUUUUAUAACCUUGUAUACAUCAUAAUGUUUGUAGAGUAAGUGUAUAUGGUUCUUGUCCGUCAUUAUUGUUUGGAGGCAUGACACAUUUAUCACAUUCAUUUAUCUUGAA